GAAAGUUUCCCAUUGAAUGUCCCCAUUUAGGUUAAAGCGGAGUGUAUUUGUGUUAGAAACGUCCCCAAAAGUCAUAAGCAUAUGGCAUACUAAUGACUAUAGUUGGAUAUGCCUUGCAUUUUUUUUUUUUUUUAAUGGUAUCAUGUCCCUAUUUUCUGUAUAAAUCUAUGCAUGAAGUCGGAGGACAAUUUAUCAAUGAUUCCCACACUCAAGUAAGGGUUAUGUUGUAAAAUCCUUCAUUAUGUCUAAGAUUUGAAAAUAUGGAACAAAUACCAAUCAGAAUGAGGACUAAGAUACAGCAAUCCAUCCUCAAGAUCAUUACACAUACUUUAACACAGGGGUCCCCAAUCCCAGUCCACGAGGGCCGGUGUCCCUGCAGGUUUUAGAUGUGUCCUUGAUCCAUCACAGCUGAUUUAAAUGGAUAAAUUACCUUCUCAACAUGUCUUGAAUUGUGAUUCAGGUGUGUUGACCCAGGGUGAGAUCUAAAACCUGCAGGGACCCAUGCUUUAACAUGAGCAAAUAUUUAAUAAUCAGAGUUCAUUGUGUUUACCAGUUCCCUAAGGAAAGUUUCCCAUUGAAUGUCCCCAUUUAGGUUAAAGCGGAGUGUAUUUGUGUUAACAACGUCCCCAAAAGUCAUAAGUAUAUGGCAU
Molecule: long non-coding RNA, 650 nt
Organism: Astatotilapia calliptera (eastern happy)
Lineage: Eukaryota; Metazoa; Chordata; Actinopteri; Cichliformes; Cichlidae
Source: Ensembl